Molecule: ribosomal RNA, 393 nt
Filed under: uncultured bacterium
Lineage: Bacteria
Description: partial 16S ribosomal RNA
Rfam family: Bacterial small subunit ribosomal RNA
Source: RNAcentral
AUACGGAGGAUCCGAGCGUUAUCCGGAUUUAUUGGGUUUAAAGGGUGCGCAGGCGGGAGAUUAAGUCGGUGGUGAAAUUUUUCAGCUUAACCUUAAAAGUGCCUUUGAUACUGGUUUCCUUGAGUGUGGCUGAAGGAGGCGGAAUUUGUGGUGUAGCGGUGAAAUGCUUAGAUAUCACGAGGAACUCCGAUUGCGCAGGCAGCUUACUAAACCACUACUGACGCUCAGGCACGAAGGCGUGGGGAUCAAACAGGAUUAGAUACCCUGGUAGUCCACGCAGUAAACGAUGAUUACUGGCUGUUUGCGAUACAAUGUCAGCGGCUGAGAGAAAGCGUUAAGUAAUCCACCUGGGGAGUACGUUCGCAAGAAUGAAACUCAAAGGAAUUGACGGGG